GACGAACGCUGGCGGCGUGCUUAACACAUGCAAGUCGAACGGAAAGGCCCUGCUUUUGUGGGGUGCUCGAGUGGCGAACGGGUGAGUAACACGUGAGUAACCUGCCCUUGACUUUGGGAUAACUUCAGGAAACUGGGGCUAAUACCGGAUAGGAGCUCUUGCUGCAUGGUGGGGGUUGGAAAGUUUCGGCGGUUGGGGAUGGACUCGCGGCUUAUCAGCUUGUUGGUGGGGUAGUGGCUUACCAAGGCUUUGACGGGUAGCCGGCCUGAGAGGGUGACCGGCCACAUUGGGACUGAGAUACGGCCCAGACUCCUACGGGAGGCAGCAGUGGGGAAUAUUGCACAAUGGGCGGAAGCCUGAUGCAGCAACGCCGCGUGCGGGAUGACGGCCUUCGGGUUGUAAACCGCUUUCGCCUGUGACGAAGCGUGAGUGACGGUAAUGGGUAAAGAAGCACCGGCUAACUACGUGCCAGCAGCCGCGGUGAUACGUAGGGUGCGAGCGUUGUCCGGAUUUAUUGGGCGUAAAGGGCUCGUAGGUGGUUGAUCGCGUCGGAAGUGUAAUCUUGGGGCUUAACCCUGAGCGUGCUUUCGAUACGGGUUGACUUGAGGAAGGUAGGGGAGAAUGGAAUUCCUGGUGGAGCGGUGGAAUGCGCAGAUAUCAGGAGGAACACCAGUGGCGAAGGCGGUUCUCUGGGCCUUUCCUGACGCUGAGGAGCGAAAGCGUGGGGAGCGAACAGGCUUAGAUACCCUGGUAGUCCACGCUGUAAACGGUGGGUACUAGGUGUGGGGUCCAUUCCACGGGUUCCGUGCCGUAGCUAACGCUUUAAGUACCCCGCCUGGGGAGUACGGCCGCAAGGCUAAAACUCAAAGGAAUUGACGGGGCCCCGCACAAGCGGCGGAGCAUGCGGAUUAAUUCGAUGCAACGCGUAGAACCUUACCUGGGUUUGACAUGGAUCGGGAGUGCUCAGAGAUGGGUGUGCCUCUUUUGGGGUCGGUUCACAGGUGGUGCAUGCCUGUCGUCAGCUCGUGUCGUGAGAUGUUGGGUUAAGUCCCGCAACGAGCGCAACCCUUGUUCACUGUUGCCAGCACGUUAUGGUGGGGACUCAGUGGAGACCGCCGGGGUCAACUCGGAGGAAGGUGGGGAUGACGUCAAGUCCUCAUGCCCCUUAUGUCCAGGGCUUCACGCAUGCUACAAUGGCUGGUACAGAGAGUGGCGAGCCUGUGAGGGUGAGCGAAUCUCGGAAAGCCGGUCUCAGUUCGGAUUGGGGUCUGCAACUCGACCUCAUGAAGUCGGAGUCGCUAGUAAUCGCAGAUCAGCAACGCUGCGGUGAAAAAGUUCCCGGGGCU
Molecule: ribosomal RNA, 1346 nt
Filed under: uncultured bacterium
Lineage: Bacteria
Description: bacterial SSU rRNA
Rfam family: Bacterial small subunit ribosomal RNA
Source: RNAcentral